RNAcentral lists this transfer RNA (74 nucleotides) under Lachnospiraceae bacterium. RNAcentral describes it as "tRNA-Arg". It matches the Rfam family "tRNA". Rfam says of the family: Transfer RNA (tRNA) molecules are approximately 80 nucleotides in length. Their secondary structure includes four short double-helical elements and three loops (D, anti-codon, and T loops). Lineage: Bacteria; Bacillati; Bacillota; Clostridia; Lachnospirales; Lachnospiraceae. The record is from RNAcentral.
GCACGGGUGGCGCAAUAGGAUAGCGUGGCAGCGUCCGAAGCUGCGGGGUGCGGGUUCAAGUCCCGCCCCGUGCA